AUUGAACGCUGGCGGCAUGCCUUACACAUGCAAGUCGAACGGCAACAGGUCUUCGGAUGCUGACGAGUGGCGAACGGGUGAGUAAUACAUCGGAACGUGCCUAGUCGUGGGGGAUAACUACUCGAAAGAGUGGCUAAUACCGCAUGAGAUCUACGGAUGAAAGCCGGGGAUCGCAAGACCUUGUGCUACUAAAGCGGCCGAUGGCAGAUUAGGUAGUUGGUGGGAUAAAAGCUUACCAAGCCGACGAUCUGUAGCUGGUCUGAGAGGACGAUCAGCCACACUGGGACUGAGACACGGCCCAGACUCCUACGGGAGGCAGCAGUGGGGAAUUUUGGACAAUGGGCGCAAGCCUGAUCCAGCAAUGCCGCGUGCAGGAUGAAGGCCUUCGGGUUGUAAACUGCUUUUGUACGGAACGAAAAGCCCCGGGUUAAUACCCUGGGGUCAUGACGGUACCGUAAGAAUAAGCACCGGCUAACUACGUGCCAGCAGCCGCCGUAA
This 498-nucleotide ribosomal RNA is filed under the name uncultured bacterium. RNAcentral's name for it is "partial 16S ribosomal RNA". It matches the Rfam family "Bacterial small subunit ribosomal RNA", at positions 30 to 523 of the family's 1533-position model. The record is from RNAcentral.